Molecule: long non-coding RNA, 299 nt
Organism: Haliotis rufescens (red abalone)
Lineage: Eukaryota; Metazoa; Mollusca; Gastropoda; Lepetellida; Haliotidae
Exons: 3
Source: RefSeq, a predicted model, not a curated record
ACCGAGGGGGAGAGGGAGCUACUUGUUGAAGGAGUUCAUAUGCGACACGAUCGCUGUUUUGGAAAAUUCAAGGGGUGCGGCAUUGGCGCAAAGAACAAGGAGCAGUCGUCGGGAGCAGAUUACCGAGGUCCUAAAUGCAUGGGGAUUCAGCUGCAGUUUUACUCCUAGAAGCAGUGACACCAACAGAAAGUGCCUUUUGUGACAAUGUGUUGCAGGGACAGGAGCAUGGAUGUCUUAAUAUCCCUGGUUGGGAUACUACAUACAGCGCCAAAAGUAACCGAGGCCUCAACAUGUACAAG